This 279-nucleotide ribosomal RNA is filed under the name uncultured bacterium. RNAcentral's name for it is "partial 16S ribosomal RNA". It matches the Rfam family "Bacterial small subunit ribosomal RNA", at positions 506 to 784 of the family's 1533-position model. The record is from RNAcentral.
UGCCAGCCGCCGCGGUAAUACGGAGGGGGGUAGCGUUGUUCGGAAUUACUGGGCGUAAAGCGUACGUAGGCGGAUUAAUAAGUUAGAGGUGAAAUCCCAGAGCUUAACUCUGGAACUGCCAUUAAAACUUCUCAGCUAGAGUAUGAUAGAGGAAAGCAGAAUUUCUAGUGUAGAGGUGAAAUUCGUAGAUAUUAGCAAGAAUACCAAUUGCGAAGGCAGCUUUCUGGAUCAUUACUGACGCUGAGGAACGAAAGCAUGGGUAGCGAAGAGGAUUAGAUA